GGCUUUUAAAUUUGGUGGUAGAGUAAUGCCAUGGUAAGACGUAAGUCAUCGGUUCGAAUCCGAUAAA
This 67-nucleotide transfer RNA is filed under the name Otatea acuminata. RNAcentral's name for it is "tRNA-Thr". It matches the Rfam family "tRNA". Rfam says of the family: Transfer RNA (tRNA) molecules are approximately 80 nucleotides in length. Their secondary structure includes four short double-helical elements and three loops (D, anti-codon, and T loops). The record is from RNAcentral. Lineage: Eukaryota; Viridiplantae; Streptophyta; Magnoliopsida; Poales; Poaceae.